Salvelinus sp. IW2-2015 is the source of this 302-nucleotide long non-coding RNA. RefSeq lists it as uncharacterized. NCBI's taxonomy places the organism in Eukaryota, Metazoa, Chordata, Actinopteri, Salmoniformes, Salmonidae. The record is from RefSeq and is a predicted model, not a curated record.
UUUCUCGACUCAGACGACAUGAAGAGACACCUCACCAUCCACACAGGAGAGAGGSUGAGCCACGUCUGUCACCAGUGUGGGAAGACUUUCACCAGUGUGGGAGGGCUGAAGAAACACCAGAUGACCCACACAGGAGAGAAGCCGUUCCAGUGUUCAGAGUGUGGGAAAGGUUUCACUGCGCAGGGUAACCUCAAGAUCCACCAGCGCAUCCACACAGGUCAGUUAUAUAGUGUGGGAAAGGUUUCACUGCGCAGGGUAACCUCAAGAUCCACCAGCGCAUCCACACAGGUCCGUUUAUAUAG